GCCCCGUGGCCUAGCCGGUAACGCUUUUGCCUUCCACCCAGAAGGUCAGGAGUUCGAUUCCACCUGGCGGCA
Caenorhabditis brenneri is the source of this 72-nucleotide non-coding RNA. Lineage: Eukaryota; Metazoa; Nematoda; Chromadorea; Rhabditida; Rhabditidae. The record is from the annotation of a GenBank genome assembly.